CGGCGAGUGAAGCGGGAAGAGCUCAAAUUUAAAAUCUGGCAGGCUACGCUUGUCCGAAUUGUAAUCUCGAGAAGUGUUUUCCGCGUUGGCCUGUGUACAAGUCCCUUGGAACAGGGCGUCAUAGAGGGUGAGAAUCCCGUCCUUGACACAGAUACCCAAUGCUUUGUGAUACACUCUCAAUGAGUCGAGUUGUUUGGGAAUGCAGCUCAAAAUGGGUGGUAAAUUCCAUCUAAAGCUAAAUACUGGCGAGAGACCGAUAGCGAACAAGUACCGUGAGGGAAAGAUGAAAAGCACUUUGGAAAGAGAGUCAAACAGUACGUGAAAUUGUUGAAAGGGAAACGAUUGAAGUCAGUCGUGCCUGCCUAGUCUCAGCCUUUUGGUGUACUACUAGGCCGGCAGGUCAGCAUCAGUUUGGGAGGAUUAACAAGGGAGUUAGGAAUGUGGCAACCUCGGUUGUGUUAUAGCCUAGCUUCGCAUUGAUCUUGCUGGACUGAGGAACGCAGUGCGCCCGCAAGGGUUGGUCUUCGGACACAUUCGCACUUAGGAUGCUGGCAUAAUGGCUUUAAACGACCCGUCUUGAA
RNAcentral lists this ribosomal RNA (581 nucleotides) under Cystofilobasidium macerans. Its description in RNAcentral is "eukaryotic LSU rRNA". It matches the Rfam family "Eukaryotic large subunit ribosomal RNA", at positions 87 to 658 of the family's 3401-position model. The record is from RNAcentral. Lineage: Eukaryota; Fungi; Basidiomycota; Tremellomycetes; Cystofilobasidiales; Cystofilobasidiaceae.